UAAAUAUUAUAUAAUUAUGGUACUUAUUAUAAGUUUAAUAGGGAAAACAGUGAAAGUCUGUUACAGCCCCCGUUACUGUAAGCAAGGACGAAUCCCGUGACCACUGAACAUUUAUGUUUGGGAAGGUGGGAGGAGAAUGAUAUGCAAGUCAGGAGACCUGCCAAAAUUAUUGAAAGAAC
RNAcentral lists this non-coding RNA (179 nucleotides) under Clostridium grantii. The record is from RNAcentral. RNAcentral also lists the same sequence under 1 other name. Lineage: Bacteria; Bacillati; Bacillota; Clostridia; Eubacteriales; Clostridiaceae.